GUUGCGUUCCAAGGAGCUACACACGACGCUCGCGGCUAAGAUCCAAGUUCUCAUUCUAAGGGCUUAAUCCAUUAAGUCCAACGUCCAGAACCCCAUAAUAGUCUCAUAACAGUGAAUUAACCCAUAAAGUCGAAGACUUUAAGCCUUUUCAUGGCUCAAAAGGUCUAAUCUUGAUAUCAAGUGUAAUGCCCGUGUUUCUGGGCUUGCCAUUUUUAGCAAUGUGAUAGUCUAGGUUAACCUUUGUAACCCCAAUUUGAAAUAAUAAAAAUGUAUUAUUUGUGAAUUAUGUGAUUUAUGUGUUUAUUUUCUUAAUUAUUAUAAUUUAAUGAAUUAAGAAUAAAAUAAGCGUCAAAAUUAAAGUGUGAGAUAAGCCCGAUAUCUUUGCAUAAAGUUGUAGUGGUUGAAACAAGGAUUCCGGAGAUAUAAGGAAUGCCAAAAUCCGAGUUAUAACGAAGAAGUUAUGACCUGUCGAAGUUUCGCGACAGAACCGGCACGACGUCGAGUGACGUAAAAUAUGAAUUUAAGAUAGAGCGAUAUUUAGCCUUAGCGAUCUAAACGAAAGUCGUAGAUUUCGUUAAACCGAGAGCGUGCAUAAAAGGAACGCCCAAAUCUGACUUCGUAUGAGGAAGUUAUGAUUUUUCUAAGUUUCGACUUAGCAGUAUGCAGCCCGAAUACUCGAUUUGAGAUCGAGCGGUUUUUAGCCGAAACAAUCUAAAUGAGAAUCGAAGAUCUCGUUGUUAGUAGCGAAACGAUGAAAAGUUAGGCGAGAACGGACGUCAGACGAAGAAGUUAUGAAUUUAUAACGAAGUUUUUCUGUCCCGGCCUUCUAAAAAUAAAUAAUAAAAAUAAAAGUCAAAAUUAGCCGACGGAGUCUAAAUGAAAGUUGUAGAGUAUGGUCUGACCUUCGCGUGGAUAUAAAGAACGUCGAAAACGGAGCUCGUAUGCGAAAGUUACGCAAUUUAGAAGUUCGACGAGUCAAUUACGCCCCGCGUAAUUGAGUACGCCCCGCGUACUCAGUCGGAUGCAACUUGUCUGACCAAUACUCGAGUGCCACAGAUCGACGCAUGCAGUGACGUCAAAGUACGCCCCGCGUAACCGAGUACGCCCCGCGUACUGAGUACGCCCUGCGUAAUUUGAGAUUACGCCCCGCGUAAUCCCAGACCCUCAGCCUAUAAAUAGAACUCGAAAUCAGCCAUUUUCUCUUGUUCAAACUCUUCCCUCUCUCUAAGUUUUGCCUCGAUUUGCGUGCCAAUCAUAUCCCGAAGCCCCGGUAUCAUUCCCGAGCCCCGAAGCAAGAUCCGAAGCCCCGAGGAUCCCGAAGAGCGUUAUUCCCGAGCCGAAGCUCUGCCCGCGAGGAGUUCGAUUUUGGUGAAGAUCUUCCAGAUCUAUCAAAGUAUACUACUUCUAUAAGCCGUAGUGCUGUCGGAUCAUCUUCUGAUCAAGUGAGUGUGUAGUUAUUUUCUUUCCAACGCAAUAUUAUGAAGUAUUUAAUAUAAAAUACGUGCUACGUGUAUAUAUUUUGUGGUUAUAUGUGUGAAUGUAUAUUCACUCUCUUCUAUCUCAUAGAUCUGAUAUAUUCUCUAUGAAAUACGUGUUAUGUGUGUAUGCCUCAUCUGUUAUGUGGAAUAUGUAUUGAUUAAAGCAUGCUAUACAGGUUUUUAAACAAUGUAUAAAAAUGUAUAUUUUUAUCUACUAAUAUGUUGGGUAGAACAUGGGUAGAUAAUUGGUGUGAAAUAAACAGAUGAGAGGCCUCGGUGUUAUUGGUGUUAUUCUAGUCAUUCAGCAGAGUAUGGAUGACGACCACAGACUAUUCUAGACUGUCCUGUGGAACACUAGCAGGCUCAUUACCUGUAGGUGUUGUGAACGACGUGUUCACCGGUGUACUCUAUCCCCCACAUGGUUGCCUUUAGGACACUUAUUGUUGAGGAAGCCCCUCUGCAGUAAUGUCCGUCCCGAUGAAAAUCCUGAAAUAAGUUCCUUAUAAUAGACGUUAUUUUUAGGAACGUAAGGUGAGGACAACGGGAAUGGGUAAUCGGGUUUAUUGUUGAUUGUUGUAAUUAAAUAUAAUUAUUGUGGGUUUGAAAACCCUAUAUGCUCACCAGGCUUCCAAGCCUGACCCACUCAGUUGAUUUGUAUUACAGGAAGUGGCGCAAGAGCUUAAGAUGGGCGAAUCAUCAAGUUGUUUUGUUUACAAGUCUGUAUAUGUAUAUAUUUGUUGAACGACUUGUGAUGUUAUCGUUUAUGCUUUAUGAUCUAUAUCGGAACAUGACAUCCCGACUUUUGAUUAUGAAAUGAAAUCAUAUUUCUAUAUGAAAUGUUUUGAUAAAUAUCUAUUUUAUCAUGUUUUGUUUUUGGGAACAAAUUCCGCAUCUCUUUUUAAAAUCAAACGGAUUUACUCUGAAAAUGUUUAAAAAGCAUAAAUGAAAUCGGUCUUUUCUGGCUGGGAUUUUGGGGAUGUCACAUCAAGCACUCAAACUUCACAAAAUAACAAUAACUCAAACAUGGGGGAACUUAAUGUAUCAGGACUCCAACUUUGUAUCAAAACCAACUCAGAAAAGGCAAGAUCUACAAAUCUUAGGCUCUUGGAGUGACUCAAACUAACAAAGAGCUCUCCAAGGACCAUAACAUGCAUACUUCAAGCCCUAACUUAGAUCUUAUGAUGUAGAAGCAUCAAGAUGAGAGCUUUAUACCUUUAGAUGCUAGAUCUACAUGAAUAAAGCUUAGAUCCAAAAGCUCCAAGCCAACCAAUGACUCUUCAAGAAGCUCAUUCUUCCUCCUUAAGCACUAAAACACACUUAAACCACUAUGAAGCUCAAGAAUCACUCAAAUGGAGGCUAGGGUUUCGUUCUUAGGGUUAUAGAGAAUAGAGGCCGAAGGAAAUGAGGGGUGAAGGUGAGUUAAGGUGUUUAAAUAGGGUCUAAGACCCUAAAUUAGGGUUUCCAUUUGAUCAUAAGAACGCCCUACGUUCCUUUGGGGAACGUCCUGCAUUUCCAAAUCCUCCCACGUCCGCAUUUACCAUGUACGCC
This 3026-nucleotide long non-coding RNA is filed under the name Lactuca sativa (garden lettuce). RNAcentral describes it as "long non-coding RNA (LSAT_LNC000005)". The record is from RNAcentral. Lineage: Eukaryota; Viridiplantae; Streptophyta; Magnoliopsida; Asterales; Asteraceae.